Molecule: ribosomal RNA, 497 nt
Filed under: uncultured bacterium
Lineage: Bacteria
Description: partial 16S ribosomal RNA
Rfam family: Bacterial small subunit ribosomal RNA
Source: RNAcentral
GAUGAACGCUGGCGGCGUGCCUAAUACAUGCAAGUCGAGCGAACGGACGAGAAGCUUGCUUCUCUGAUGUUAGCGGCGGACGGGUGAGUAACACGUGGAUAACCUACCUAUAAGACUGGGAUAACUUCGGGAAACCGUAGCUAAUACCGGAUAAUAUUUUGAACCGCAUGGUUCAAAAGUGAAAGACGGUCUUGCUGUCACUUAUAGAUGGAUCCGCGCUGCAUUAGCUAGUUGGUAAGGUAACGGCUUACCAAGGCAACGAUGCAUAGCCGACCUGAGAGGGUGAUCGGCCACACUGGAACUGAGACACGGUCCAGACGCCUACGGGAGGCAGCAGUAGGGAAUCUUCCGCAAUGGGCGAGAGCCUGACGGAGCAACGCCGCGUGAGUGAUGAAGGUCUUCGGAUCGUAAAGCUCUGUUAUUAGGGAAGAACAGAUGUGUAAGUAACUGUGCACAUCGUGACGGUACCUAAUCAGAAAGCCACGGCUAACUACGUG